GGGGCUAUAGCUCAGCUGGGAGAGCGCCUGCCUGCACGCAGGAGGUCAGCGGUCGAUCCCGCUUAGCUCCACCA
This 74-nucleotide transfer RNA is filed under the name Serratia marcescens. Its description in RNAcentral is "tRNA-OTHER". Lineage: Bacteria; Pseudomonadati; Pseudomonadota; Gammaproteobacteria; Enterobacterales; Yersiniaceae. The record is from RNAcentral.